Haplochromis burtoni (Burton's mouthbrooder) is the source of this 643-nucleotide long non-coding RNA. RefSeq lists it as uncharacterized. The transcript has 3 exons. The record is from RefSeq and is a predicted model, not a curated record. Lineage: Eukaryota; Metazoa; Chordata; Actinopteri; Cichliformes; Cichlidae.
UUACAAGGUUAAGUCAGUAAAACACAAGCAGCAUGUUCUUGCAAUUAAUAAUUAACCAUGGUAUAACCAUUGUAUAGCCAUUAUUUAACGUACAACCCUUGUAUAAAGUGUGCCUUCUCAUAAAAAGGGCAAUAGCAGAAAAAUUUUAUGUUUCCCUGCUUAAAAGGAUAGUACUGCUGAUCAGUGACCCCAUUUCUGACCGCUCUGUCCGUCUUGGUAACAGAACCCUGCUCACUUUCACCAGUGGAAGUAGCCUCUGGAUCAUUAAUAAUUCAUCCAUCUGAAAUGAAAUCCAGGUGCGCCAGUGGCUGUCAGACGCAGGAUGGCCACUGUUAACAUGGAUGCACCUGUGAGUAUUCAUAUUCUACACAGUAUAUAAAUAGCAUCUUUUUAAAGCAGGGGUAUAUUUACAUCAGAAUAAUGCAGAAUUUAAAGACACUCUUGUUGGAGUCUCUGUCAUUGAUCUUUAAUGUUUUAGGGAGCUGACGCAGUGAGAGUGGGAGUUGUACUUACAACAAAACCAGAGAGUAAAGAAUCUGUUGUUAUUGAUGAAGAAGGACAUAGUGUUUACUACAAAUCAUCAAAUAAUGAGGCAGCCAAGGCCUUCUCUUUCGACCAAGUCGUGACUGUUGACAGCAUAAAG